This is a non-coding RNA of Ictidomys tridecemlineatus (thirteen-lined ground squirrel), 103 nucleotides long. The record is from Rfam. NCBI's taxonomy places the organism in Eukaryota, Metazoa, Chordata, Mammalia, Rodentia, Sciuridae.
AUCCUUUUCGGGCCAUGAGCAAGAUGACUGGGUGCUCACACUGUUGUGUGGGAUGCGCUUCCCUCUGAACCUUGUUACCACGUGGCAUGUUACCUGCCUGACA